Anguilla rostrata (American eel) is the source of this 1047-nucleotide long non-coding RNA. RefSeq lists it as uncharacterized. The transcript is spliced from 2 exons. The record is from RefSeq and is a predicted model, not a curated record. NCBI's taxonomy places the organism in Eukaryota, Metazoa, Chordata, Actinopteri, Anguilliformes, Anguillidae.
AAUCGUUCACUAAAUCCACACGGUAAAGGUGUGAUUUAACUAAGCACGGCAACAUUACAAAUGCUGUACCGUUUCUCCGUUCAUUUCUAAUCAGUGGUUUCCUUCUUGAUUGCUCCUAAAUCGAACUGACGAGGAAACAACAAAAAAUAGCCGAUACAACGCGGCAACGAGCAGUCUCGGGUCCAAUCGCUUGUUCAUAAACAAAAAAAUUCCACGACACUGCAUCCUUGAAAAAGGGUCGCCACACCUUCCUCCGCUGCCGCGUUCGUCCAGCUCUCCGAUCCCGCGUUCGAGAAUCCGAUUAAGGCGCCGUCCCGAGGUCAGUUUGCCGCGUCAGCAUUCGCGGCCCAAACGGAGGGAGAUGUUUAUUCAUCGCCGGCGGACGGCUUGGCAGGAGCCGCUGGGAACGCAGAACCGCAUUCCAAUGAGGUCUGCAGAAACGGCGCUCGUCUCUGCGCACCAGAGGCCUGGAACGAGUCCCCUGUCAAUCUCAUUCACAGCGCUUAGUCUUCAAGAGCGGAAAAUAUCUUAACGUAAAAAAUCACUUACAUAUGCGUAAAUACAGGAAAAGACAAUGCACAAUGAGUGUGCAUUCCCAAUAAAAAAACAUAUUUUCACAAAAGUCAGAAAUAAAUAUUAACCAUUUUUGUGGCCAAUUUGUAACUAGGCUGCUGUCAUAGAGAAGAGAAAGUCCUUAUCAGUCUGCUAUAGUGAACCACUAUGUUUUUCUUGAGCAAAUGAAGGGGUUGUGGCUCUCUGUUAGAGGUGAUCAAAGUAAGAAAUGAAGAAGACCAUGAAACAGGUCAUCUGUUAGUGGAUAAUUACCUGGUGUAUAGUUAGCAUGUUACAACUAUCUUUGAUGAGGUCAUCCAAAGGUUACCUAAACCUUUUUCAGCUCUUUGAGCUCCUUGCUCAUUAGCAAGUCAAAUAUUUCAACCAUGCGAUUUCAGUCCCACAGAAUUUCAAACAAUAAAGCUUUAUAAAGGGACUGAAAGAUAUGCAGAUGUAAAUGUUUGCCUACAAAUAAAACACAUGGACUCAGUAAUA